RNAcentral lists this long non-coding RNA (348 nucleotides) under Setaria italica (foxtail millet). RNAcentral's name for it is "long non-coding RNA (SITA_LNC006616)". Lineage: Eukaryota; Viridiplantae; Streptophyta; Magnoliopsida; Poales; Poaceae. The record is from RNAcentral.
GGGCGAUCCUCGUGAUGGUGUGUAGACUGUAGUGCGCGUGCGCCGGGCUGCGGGACCUCGUCGCCGAGCGCGAGCACUUGAACGGCAGGUACAUGGCCGAUGGCCAAGCGACGGCGUCUGUUCUUCCUCGAGCGCUCAGAGACCGACGACGGCAGACGGCUCGAGCCGUAGCUGAAGGAGAAGUACGUGGCGAUUAGGUGGUGGUGCUGGCCUCUUAGCAGCUAAGAACGUGGAACAUGACCACGUUCCUCGUUCCGGGACGGAAACGUUUCUGGAAGUGCCGUACCACGUUCCUCGUUCCACGUUUCAGUUCCCAUCGUUCCGAGAACAUGGUUGCCAAAGCUAGCC